This 482-nucleotide ribosomal RNA is filed under the name uncultured bacterium. RNAcentral's name for it is "bacterial SSU rRNA". It matches the Rfam family "Bacterial small subunit ribosomal RNA", at positions 32 to 524 of the family's 1533-position model. The record is from RNAcentral.
AAUCAACGCUGGCGGCGUGCCUCAGACAUGCAAGUCGAACGAUUAAAGCUCUCUUCGGAGAGUGUAUAGAGUGGCGCACGGGUGAGUAACACGUAAGUAAUCUACCCUCGAGUGGGGAAUAACAACCGGAAACGGUUGCUAAUACCGCAUAAUGCAGCGGCACCGCAAGGUGACAGUUGUUAAAGAUUUAUCGCUUGAGGAGGAGCUUGCGGCAGAUUAGCUAGUUGGUAGGGUAACGGCUUACCAAGGCUACGAUCUGUAACCGGUCUAAGAGGACGGUCGGUCACACUGACACUGAAUAACGGGUCAGACUCCUACGGGAGGCAGCAGUCGGGAAUUUUGGGCAAUGGGCGAAAGCCUGACCCAGCAACGCCGCGUGAAGGAUGAAGUAUUUCGGUAUGUAAACUUCGAAAGAAUAGGAAGAAUUAAUGACGGUACUAUUUGUAAGGUCCGGCUAACUACGUGCCAGCAGCCGCGGUAAU